This 125-nucleotide small RNA is filed under the name Marmota monax (woodchuck). The record is from RNAcentral. Lineage: Eukaryota; Metazoa; Chordata; Mammalia; Rodentia; Sciuridae.
GCCGAGUGUGGUGGCACAUGCCUGUAAUCCCAGCGGCUUGGGAGGCUGAGACAGAAGGAUUGCAGGUUCAAAGCCAGCUUCAGCAACAGCGAGGCACUAAGCAACUCAGUAAGACCCUGUCUCUA